This 467-nucleotide ribosomal RNA is filed under the name uncultured bacterium. Its description in RNAcentral is "partial 16S ribosomal RNA". It matches the Rfam family "Bacterial small subunit ribosomal RNA", at positions 29 to 507 of the family's 1533-position model. The record is from RNAcentral.
ACGAACGCUGGCGGCGUGCUUAACACAUGCAAGUCGAACGGAAAGGCCCUGCUUUUGUGGGGUGCUCGAGUGGCGAACGGGUGAGUAACACGUGAGUAACCUGCCCUUGACUUUGGGAUAACUUCAGGAAACUGGGGCUAAUACCGGAUAGGAGCUCCUGCUGCAUGGUGGGGGUUGGAAAGUUUCGGCGGUUGGGGAUGGACUCGCGGCUUAUCAGCUUGUUGGUGGGGUAGUGGCUUACCAAGGCUUUGACGGGUAGCCGGCCUGAGAGGGUGACCGGCCACAUUGGGACUGAGAUACGGCCCAGACUCCUACGGGAGGCAGCAGUGGGUAAUAUUGCACAAUGGGCGGAAGCCUGAUGCAGCAACGCCGCGUGCGGGAUGACGGCCUUCGGGUUGUAAACCGCUUUCGCCUGUGACGAAGCGUGAGUGACGGUAAUGGGUAAAGAAGCACCGGCUAACUACGUG